UACAGAGGUCUCAAGCGUUGUUCGGAUUCAUUGGGCGUAAAGGGCGCGUAGGCGGUGCUCUAAGUCGGAUGUGAAAACUCUGGGCUCAACCCAGAGCCUGCAUCCGAAACUGGAGUGCUAGAGUUCUGGAGGGGGUAGCGGAAUUCCUGGUGUAGCGGUGAAAUGCGUAGAUAUCAGGAGGAACACCAGUGGCGAAGGCGACACUCUGGAGAGCAACUGACGCUGAGGCACGAAGGCCAGGGGAGCGAACGGG
Molecule: ribosomal RNA, 253 nt
Filed under: uncultured bacterium
Lineage: Bacteria
Description: partial 16S ribosomal RNA
Rfam family: Bacterial small subunit ribosomal RNA
Source: RNAcentral